ACAACAUGUCUUUUAGAAAAUAAUUUAAAGUCUAAUCUGCCCACUGAUAUUAUAUUAAAGGGCUGCAGUAUAUUGACUGUACAAAGGUAGCAUAAUCAUUAGUCUUUUAAUUGAAGACUUGUAUGAAAGAUUUGAUGAAAUAUAAACUGUCUCUAAUUUAAAAAUAGAAAUUAAUUUUUUAGUUAAAAAGCUAAAAUUUAUUUAAAAGACGAGAAGACCCUAUAGAGUUUUACAUUAUUUUUAUUUAAGAUUAUAUGUAUAAAUAAUAAUUAAAAAUAAAAAUAAUGUUUUAUUGGGGUGAUAGAAAAAUUUAAUUAACUUUUUUUAAAAAUUAAACAUAAAUAAGUGAAAAUAUGAUCCAUAAGUUAUGAUUAUAAGAAAAAAUUACCUUAGGGAUAACAGCGUAAUAUUUUUUUUUAGUACAAAUAAAAAAAAAAGUUUGCGACCUCGAUGUUGGAUUAAGAUAAAAUUUAAAUGCAAAAGUUUAAAAUUUUGAUCUGUUCGAUCAUUAAAAUCUUACAUGAUCU
This is a ribosomal RNA of 527 nucleotides. The stretch from base 395 to 527 matches the Rfam family "Bacterial large subunit ribosomal RNA", at positions 2473 to 2606 of the family's 2925-position model.